GUUGACCUCGGAUCAGGUAGGAAGACCCGCUGAACUUAAGCAUAUCAAUAA
Molecule: ribosomal RNA, 51 nt
Filed under: Chaetomium globosum
Lineage: Eukaryota; Fungi; Ascomycota; Sordariomycetes; Sordariales; Chaetomiaceae
Description: partial 28S ribosomal RNA
Source: RNAcentral